UACGUAGGGGGCAAGCGUUGUCCGGAUUUAUUGGGCGUAAAGAGCGUGUAGGCGGCCAGGUAGGUCUGCUGUGAAAACUCGAGGCUUAACCUCGAGCUGUCGGCGGAAACCAUCUGGCUAGAGUCCGGAAGAGGAGAAUGGAAUUCCGAGUGUAGAGGUGAAAUUCGUAGAUAUUCGGAAGAACACCAGUGGCGAAGGCGGCUCACUGGACUGGUAUUGACGCUGAGGUGCGAAAGCGUGGGGAGCAAACAGG
RNAcentral lists this ribosomal RNA (253 nucleotides) under uncultured bacterium. Its description in RNAcentral is "partial 16S ribosomal RNA". It matches the Rfam family "Bacterial small subunit ribosomal RNA", at positions 524 to 776 of the family's 1533-position model. The record is from RNAcentral.